GAGUUUGAUCCUGGCUCAGGACGAACGCUGGCGGCGUGCCUAAUACAUGCAAGUCGAGCGAGUCUCUUCGGAGGCUAGCGGCGGACGGGUGAGUAACACGUAGGCAACCUGCCUCUCAGACCGGGAUAACAUAGGGGAAACUUAUGCUAAUACCGGAUAGGUUUUUGGAUUGCAUGAUCCGAAAAGAAAGAUGGCUUUCGUCUAUCACUGGGAGAUGGGCCUGCGGCGCAUUAGCUAGUUGGUGGGGUAACGGCCGUACCAAGG
This 264-nucleotide ribosomal RNA is filed under the name uncultured microorganism. RNAcentral describes it as "partial 16S ribosomal RNA". It matches the Rfam family "Bacterial small subunit ribosomal RNA", at positions 9 to 273 of the family's 1533-position model. The record is from RNAcentral.